This 497-nucleotide ribosomal RNA is filed under the name uncultured bacterium. Its description in RNAcentral is "partial 16S ribosomal RNA". It matches the Rfam family "Bacterial small subunit ribosomal RNA", at positions 28 to 507 of the family's 1533-position model. The record is from RNAcentral.
GAUGAACGCUGGCGGCGUGCCUAAUACAUGCAAGUCGAGCGAACAGACGAGGAGCUUGCUCCUCUGACGUUAGCGGCGGACGGGUGAGUAACACGUGGAUAACCUACCUAUAAGACUGGGAUAACUUCGGGAAACCGGAGCUAAUACCGGAUAAUAUAUUGAACCGCAUGGUUCAAUAGUGAAAGACGGUUUUGCUGUCACUUAUAGAUGGAUCCGCGCCGCAUUAGCUAGUUGGUAAGGUAACGGCUUACCAAGGCAACGAUGCGUAGCCGACCUGAGGGGGUGAUCGGCCACACUGGAACUGAGACACGGUCCAGACUCCUACGGGAGGCAGCAGUAGGGAAUCUUCCGCAAUGGGCGAAAGCCUGACGGAGCAACGCCGCGUGAGUGAUGAAGGUCUUCGGAUCGUAAAACUCUGUUAUUAGGGAAGAACAAAUGUGUAAGUAACUAUGCACGUCUCGACGGUACCUAAUCAGAAAGCCACGGCUAACUACGUG